GAGAGAGAGAGAGAGAGAGUUUUAAGCAGAUAAAAAUGAAGAGAGACAGAAUUAAAAAUAGGGUUUACUUGCUUUGCUUGCAACCAUCAGUCAUCAAACUUUGGACGUGUCACACACAUUUGUUCUAAAUGCAACUUAAAGGUUUCAGCUCCGAAAUUAGUACAAUAACUAGACAUGGUUUCUUCCCAACAACCUGUAAUAUAAAAUUGUGUACUCCAACAUUUGAACCAAAACAGCUAAGAGACCAAGCAAGGCAUGAAGAAUAUUGGUAGAUAAUGUUACUUUUAUUCACUGAAGAAAAUGAUUGAAGGUAUGAUCAUGAGUUUAAAAACUCUCAAGUAGAUAAUACUUGAAAGAGUUCAUUUCUGUUAGUGUAGGUCUAGAGGCAGUGAAUGCACUAUGGAGGAUGGUCUGAAGAGCGCUAUGACCUGACAAAUUCGCAACAUUAACUGUAGCCUGUUUCUAUUUUCCAAUUCAACUAUGGUUCCUAUUUCGCCAAACUUCGAAACCCAUAUUGACAGAUCCCACAAACACCUGGCUUGAGAGCUUUACAAUUGAAUCAGGUGGGAAUUGGUAAUAUGGCAGGUUUUAAUUGGAACCCACUGAUGCAGUGUAGUGAAUCUUAGUUUGUCCUAUUCCAUAUAUAAUUACAAAGUAGUGCUUUGGCUUAGCGUUGAAAGUGAGACAAUAAGACUACUUUUAAGGGAAAAAGAAAAUACCAGUGAAGGUGAAGCCCUAAGUGAAAAUAUGCGAGGUGAAAUCCUUGUUGUUACGGGUCCCGGCCAUGGCCAUCUCUAUCCCUGCAUGCAACUCUGCAACCGUCUUACUAAACGUAACUUCCAUAUUACCCUCGUUACCUCCUCCACUCUCUCCCCUGCUAUUCCCUCCUCUUUUACUCAAAACCCACUUACCAGUAUCGCCCCCAUCGCUCCCUCCGGCCAGCAAUCCGCCCAAGACCUCCGCUUAUACCUCACCAGCCGCUGCAAUAUAUCUGAUUCUCCCCCGCCUCUAUGCGCUAUCAUUGACUUCCAAAUGGGCUGGACAAAACAUGUCUUUUGGAAAUUUGAUAUUCCUGUCAUCGGAUUGUUUACUUUUGGCGCCUGUGCUGCCGCCAUGGAGUGGGGAGCCUGGAAGGUCCAAGCUGAAGAACUCAUGCCCGGUGAAGCCCGUUUAGUCCCGGCAUUACCCCAAGAAAUGGCGAUUACUUGCUCCGAUCUCAAAAGAAAAAUUUUUGUGCCGCCUGGUGACGGCGGACUUGGGCGGGGCCCGCCAAUGCCCGGAGACCGGCCCCCAUGGGUGCCAGAAAUAGAAGGCUCAAUCGGGUUGAUGUUUAACACGUGCGAUGAUCUCGACGGUCAGUUUAUCAAAUACAUGGAGGAUCAGAUUGGUCUGCCAGCUUGGGGUGUGGGCCCACUUCUGCCCGAGAUGUAUUGGCAGCCGUCGCAUUCGCUGAUUCACGACCAAGAAAUAAGGGAGCCCAAACGGCAAUCUAAUUUAACAGAGGGUGAAGUGAUCCAAUGGUUAGAGACGAAGCCACGAGGCUCCGUAUUGUACGUUGCUUUUGGCAGCGAGGUGGGUCCUACUAUGGAGGAAUAUCAACAAUUGGCAAAUGGAUUAGGAGAUUCGACCCGACCGUUUAUCUGCGUGAUACAACCAGGAAAAGGCUCUUGCGGGUUGGAUAAAAAGGUUGGAGAUAGAGGUUUGGUAAUAUAUGGAUGGGCACCACAGCUGCUGAUACUGAGCCACGCUUCAACGGGCGGAUUUCUAUCGCACUGUGGAUGGAAUUCCACCAUGGAGGCCAUUGGACUUGGGGUACCCAUUUUGGCUUGGCCCAUUAGAGGUGACCAAUUCUAUAAUGCCAAGCUGGUAGUUAAUUAUCUCAAGUUAGGGUAUAUGGUAAGUGAUGAUUUAUCAGAAACGGUUAAAGAGGAUGACAUAGUUAAGGGAAUUGAAAUGCUGAUGGGAGAUGAAGAGAUGCACAAUAGAGCAAUCCUUAUCAAGGCAAAAUUGAGAGAUGAUGGUUUUCCAGCAAGUUCUGAGGCAGGAUUGGAUGCCUUUAGGGGAUUUAUCUUGAACCAAAAAGCAAUUAUUUACUAGUAAUUGUCUUCUCCUUAUAAUUAAUAUAAAUGCAGAUUAUUUAUUGCAUCUAGGAUAAGACAUCAAGAAUGGCUUGUUCUCCACUUGCACAUUCUUUAUACUACUCUUCCCACUUCAGUUUGAGUGGGGAUUCAAGAUGCAAGCAUUUUCUUUUGUAUAUUUAUAAAGGAUUAUUGUUUUUGAAGUAAUUCAAUUGACUGCU
Molecule: unclassified non-coding RNA, 2299 nt
Filed under: Hevea brasiliensis (rubber tree)
Lineage: Eukaryota; Viridiplantae; Streptophyta; Magnoliopsida; Malpighiales; Euphorbiaceae
Source: RNAcentral